GGGGAAUAUUGGACAAUGGGCGAAAGCCUGAUCCAGCAAUGCCGCGUGAGUGAUGAAGGCCUUAGGGUUGUAAAGCUCUUUUACCCGGGAAGAUAAUGACUGUACCGGGAGAAUAAGUCCCGGCUAACUCCGUGCCAGCAGCCGCGGUAAUACGGAGGGGGCUAGCGUUGUUCGGAAUGACUGGGCGUAAAGCGCGCGUAGGCGGAUCGGUAAGUUGGGGGUGAAAUCCCGGGGCUCAACCCUGGAAUGGCCUUCAAGACUCCCGGUCUUGAGUUCGAGAGAGGUGAGUGGAAUUCCGAGUGUAGAGGUGAAAUUCGUAGAUAUUCGGAGGAACACCAGUGGCGAAGGCGGCUCACUGGCUCGACACUGACGCUGAGGCGCGAAAGCGUGGGGAGCAAAC
This 400-nucleotide ribosomal RNA is filed under the name uncultured bacterium. RNAcentral's name for it is "bacterial SSU rRNA". It matches the Rfam family "Bacterial small subunit ribosomal RNA", at positions 356 to 773 of the family's 1533-position model. The record is from RNAcentral.